This 615-nucleotide long non-coding RNA is filed under the name Elaeis guineensis (African oil palm). Its description in RNAcentral is "long non-coding RNA (EGUI_LNC018279)". The record is from RNAcentral. Lineage: Eukaryota; Viridiplantae; Streptophyta; Magnoliopsida; Arecales; Arecaceae.
UCCAUGGUAAAGACUCAUCUUUUGUCACACAAUAAUGAAGAGGUUUUAAGGUUGGCGUGGAGAUGAGAUAGGAUAGGAUAAACACUAGGUAGUUUCGUUUAAAUUCAAAUCUAUUUGAAUUCAAAACUUAACUAAUCCUAUCCUAUCCCAAGAAGAUGCAAAAGAGAGGUGAGAAACAUUAGAUUGGUAUGCAAAAUUAUUACACAAAAAUUGAUUCUCGUAUGGGAAGAGAGGUCGGCAAUUUUGGGAAGAGUCCAACAAGGUUUGGACUCUAAGUUCUCAUUCAAAUUCAAACCUUUUGAACUCAAAUUUUAAACCAACCUCAUCUAAAUCCAAAAAAGAUCAGAAAGUGGGCGUCAAUCAUCUUCUGAGCAUGAGAAACAUUCACAUAGAAAUAUUUCUCGCAUAAAGAAAAGAAGGGCAUAGAGAUAGGGUAGCGCAUGGGCUUUGGUUCAAAUCUAUUUGAAUUUAAAUUUUAUCCAAUUAGAUUCUUAACCAAACUAAAUUAGAUUGAAUCCAUUCAGGCCAUUGAAUCUAAUCUAAUUGGAUAAUAAAUUAUCUUAAUUAAAUUUAAUCAAAUUAAAAAUUAAUCAAAUUCAAGUUUUGAUCAAAUCA